RNAcentral lists this ribosomal RNA (253 nucleotides) under uncultured bacterium. RNAcentral's name for it is "partial 16S ribosomal RNA". It matches the Rfam family "Bacterial small subunit ribosomal RNA", at positions 524 to 776 of the family's 1533-position model. The record is from RNAcentral.
UACGAAGGGAGCUAGCGUUGUUCGGAAUCACUGGGCGUAAAGCGCACGUAGGCGGAUGUGUCAGUCAGGGGUGAAGUCCCGGAGCUCAACUUCGGAACUGCCCUUGAUACAGCACGUCUUGAGUCCGGAAGAGGUGGGUGGAAUUCCUAGUGUAGAGGUGAAAUUCGUAGAUAUUAGGAAGAACACCGGUGGCGAAGGCGGCCCACUGGUCCGGUACUGACGCUGAGGUGCGAAAGCGUGGGGAGCAAACAGG